GACGAACGCUGGCGGCGUGCUUAACACAUGCAAGUCGAACGAAGAGCGACGGAAGCUUGCUUCUAUCAAUCUUAGUGGCGAACGGGUGAGUAACGCGUAAUCAACCUGCCCUUCAGAGGGGGACAACAGUUGGAAACGACUGCUAAUACCGCAUACGAUCUAAUCUCGGCAUCGAGGAUGGAUGAAAGGUGGCCUCUACAUGUAAGCUAUCACUGAAGGAGGGGAUUGCGUCUGAUUAGCUAGUUGGAGGGGUAACGGCCCACCAAGGCGAUGAUCAGUAGCCGUCCGGAGAGGAGGACCGCCACCAUUGGAACUGAGACACGCCCCGGACUCCUACGGGAGGCGGCAGGGGGAAUCUUCCGAAAUGGACGAAAGUCUGACGGAGCAACGCCGCGUGAGUGAUGGCGGCCUUCGGGUUGUAAAGCUCUGUUAAUCGGGACGAAAGGCCUUCUUGCGAAUAGUGAGAAGGAUUGACGGUACCGGAAUAGAAAGCCACGGCUAACUACGUG
RNAcentral lists this ribosomal RNA (509 nucleotides) under uncultured bacterium. RNAcentral's name for it is "partial 16S ribosomal RNA". It matches the Rfam family "Bacterial small subunit ribosomal RNA", at positions 28 to 507 of the family's 1533-position model. The record is from RNAcentral.